RNAcentral lists this ribosomal RNA (447 nucleotides) under uncultured bacterium. RNAcentral describes it as "partial 16S ribosomal RNA". It matches the Rfam family "Bacterial small subunit ribosomal RNA", at positions 29 to 523 of the family's 1533-position model. The record is from RNAcentral.
AACGAACGCUGGCGGCAGGCUUAACACAUGCAAGUCGAGCGCCCCGCAAGGGGAGCGGCAGACGGGUGAGUAACGCGUGGGAAUCUACCUUUUGCUACGGAAUAACUCAGGGAAACUUGUGCUAAUACCGUAUGUGCCCUUCGGGGGAAAGAUUUAUCGGCAAAGGAUGAGCCCGCGUUGGAUUAGCUAGUUGGUGGGGUAAUGGCCUACCAAGGCGACGAUCCAUAGCUGGUCUGAGAGGAUGAUCAGCCACAUUGGGACUGAGACACGGCCCAAACUCCUGCGGGAGGCAGCAGUGGGGAAUAUUGGACAAUGGGCGCAAGCCUGAUCCAGCCAUGCCGCGUGAGUGAUGAAGGCCCUAGGGUUGUAAAGCUCUUUCACCGGUGAAGAUAAUGACGGUAACCGGAGAAGAAGCCCCGGCUAACUUCGUGCCAGCAGCCGCCGCCG